RNAcentral lists this transfer RNA (81 nucleotides) under Pseudocoprococcus catus. RNAcentral's name for it is "Coprococcus catus tRNA-Leu". It matches the Rfam family "tRNA". From Rfam's summary of the family: Transfer RNA (tRNA) molecules are approximately 80 nucleotides in length. Their secondary structure includes four short double-helical elements and three loops (D, anti-codon, and T loops). Lineage: Bacteria; Bacillati; Bacillota; Clostridia; Lachnospirales; Lachnospiraceae. The record is from RNAcentral.
GCGGAUAUGGCGGAACUGGCAGACGCGCAGACUUAGGAUCUGGUGGGGGACCCCGUGCAGGUUCGAUUCCUGUUAUCCGCA